AGUCUUCAAGUAAAGGCCAGAUGACUACUUACAGACUAUGAUGUAAACAUAUUUUUUAUUAUUCUUAUCAGAUAUAGAUUGGACUGGAUGGCAUCAAAGAUAUCUUCCAACUCUGAAGUCUUAUGAUUCUGAUUCUAAACAGCUGGAGCAAAGUUGAAGAGGCAGGAUUAGAGAGAAAAAUGCCAAAACGUCUCUUCAAGAUAUUUUUGCUGUCACCUAUUACAAAUAUCCAUUGUCACUGGUUUAUCACUAUCAUAUUAAGGGGCUACAAUCAACUUUACUUGUUCUCAGAUCCAGAUGGCUGCCAGGAGAGUUUCAAGCAAAUGAACUAUGCAUCAGAUUCUCAUUGAACUUAAUGAGCAUGGUCCAUGACCUAUCCUUCAUCAGCAAGUUCAUUUAGAAUGGGGAAUUCACUAAUCCAUUCAAUUAGCUGCCUGUAAAAGGGGA
Molecule: long non-coding RNA, 447 nt
Filed under: Monodelphis domestica (gray short-tailed opossum)
Lineage: Eukaryota; Metazoa; Chordata; Mammalia; Didelphimorphia; Didelphidae
Description: lncRNA (ENSMODG00000041248.1)
Source: RNAcentral